UUUUUUGAUAAAAUAGUUGCUUGAUGGCCAUAUAUGCUAGAUAAAAAAAAACAUGUAUAUUUUUUACAACGUAGUGAUUUUUCAAAAAUAUAGAACCUGUCAGACAACCGCUUGAUCAUUCCAGACCGGUUUAACUAGCUAGGAAAUGAUCCUCUGCGGCCAUGAUGAUCUACGACUGUCACCUAGCCAUUACUCACGCUAUAAUCAGACGGGUUAUGGUUCCUCAACCAGGCUUCGGUUCCUGUCUCCUCAGUGAUUACGGAUUUUCAGAUAAGCGAUCAUACAGAACAGAUCCAGUUCAAGUAAGGUCGUGAUGCUCCUUGCUCCUCGGUCAAUUUCUUGCUUCUUCGUUCUUUUCCGAUGUGGUACAGAUCUGGUCCUAUUUUGUUCGAAGGUGUUUUUGUGCCGAGGAAAACGCUCUGUCCUCUUUUUGCUUCGAGCCCUGAUCUGAGAUGGCAGACAUUAAUGUUCUUGUGUUGUGCACGCAUUAGUGGCCAGCCCGAGUUUAACUGGCUAAUAAAAAUGUCCCCUCCAUUAAAAAUCCAUUUUAUUUAUGGAGGUUAUUUGCUGUUUGAUGUUUUUAGGAUUCUGAGGAACUUCUUCGUUCCAGAAGAUGACAAUAUGGCCUCUCUCCUCUUCCUCUUCCUCUUCGUUUAUCAUGAUUUCCUUUAAUCGCUUGUUCCACGAUGCAGAUUGCAGAGGUACUUUACUGGUGCCUUAUGGCUUUGAUAGAUGAAUCUAUGUUUUUCUGUGUCUAAAAUGAUCAUCAUCAAGUUUCAAGAACAAAAGGCAAAAAAAUUUCUUACAGCAACUGAAGUUUCAAA
Molecule: long non-coding RNA, 824 nt
Organism: Populus euphratica (Euphrates poplar)
Lineage: Eukaryota; Viridiplantae; Streptophyta; Magnoliopsida; Malpighiales; Salicaceae
Exons: 2
Source: RefSeq, a predicted model, not a curated record